UGCAAGUCGAACGAACUCUGGUAUUGAUUGGUGCUUGCAUCAUGAUUUACAUUUGAGUGAGUGGCGAACUGGUGAGUAACACGUGGGAAACCUGCCCAGAAGCGGGGGAUAACACCUGGAAACAGAUGCUAAUACCGCAUAACAACUUGGACCGCAUGGUCCGAGUUUGAAAGAUGGCUUCGGCUAUCACUUUUGGAUGGUCCCGCGGCGUAUUAGCUAGAUGGUGGGGUAACGGCUCACCAUGGCAAUGAUACGUAGCCGACCUGAGAGGGUAAUCGGCCACAUUGGGACUGAGACACGGCCCAAACUCCUACGGGAGGCAGCAGUAGGGAAUCUUCCACAAUGGACGAAAGUCUGAUGGAGCAACGCCGCGUGAGUGAAGAAGGGUUUCGGCUCGUAAAACUCUGUUGUUAAAGAAGAACAUAUCUGAGAGUAACUGUUCAGGUAUUGACGGUAUUUAACCAGAAAGCCACGGCUAACUACGUGCCAGCAGCCGCGGUAAUACGUAGGUGGCAAGCGUUGUCCGGAUUUAUUGGGCGUAAAGCGAGCGCAGGCGGUUUUUUAAGUCUGAUGUGAAAGCCUUCGGCUCAACCGAAGAAGUGCAUCGGAAACUGGGAAACUUGAGUGCAGAAGAGGACAGUGGAACUCCAUGUGUAGCGGUGAAAUGCGUAGAUAUAUGGAAGAACACCAGUGGCGAAGGCGGCUGUCUGGUCUGUAACUGACGCUGAGGCUCGAAAGUAUGGGUAGCAAACAGGAUUAGAUACCCUGGUAGUCCAUACCGUAAACGAUGAAUGCUAAGUGUUGGAGGGUUUCCGCCCUUCAGUGCUGCAGCUAACGCAUUAAGCAUUCCGCCUGGGGAGUACGGGCCGCAAGGCUGAAACUCAAAGGAAUUGACGGGGGCCCGCACAAGCGGUGGAGCAUGUGGUUUAAUUCGAAGCUACGCGAAGAACCUUACCAGGUCUUGACAUACUAUGCAAAUCUAAGAGAUUAGACGUUCCCUUCGGGGACAUGGAUACAGGUGGUGCAUGGUUGUCGUCAGCUCGUGUCGUGAGAUGUUGGGUUAAGUCCCGCAACGAGCGCAACCCUUAUUAUCAGUUGCCAGCAUUAAGUUGGGCACUCUGGUGAGACUGCCGGUGACAAACCGGAGGAAGGUGGGGAUGACGUCAAAUCAUCAUGCCCCUUAUGACCUGGGCUACACACGUGCUACAAUGGAUGGUACAACGAGUUGCGAACUCGCGAGAGUAAGCUAAUCUCUUAAAGCCAUUCUCAGUUCGGAUUGUAGGCUGCAACUCGCCUACAUGAAGUCGGAAUCGCUAGUAAUCGCGGAUCAGCAUGCCGCGGUGAAUACGUUCCCGGGCCUUGUACACACCGCCCGUCACACCAUGAGAGUUUGUAACACCCAAAGUCGGUGGGGUAACCUUUUAGGAACCAGCC
This 1434-nucleotide ribosomal RNA is filed under the name Lactiplantibacillus pentosus. Its description in RNAcentral is "bacterial SSU rRNA". It matches the Rfam family "Bacterial small subunit ribosomal RNA". Lineage: Bacteria; Bacillati; Bacillota; Bacilli; Lactobacillales; Lactobacillaceae. The record is from RNAcentral.